GAUGAACGCUGGCUACAGGCUUAACACAUGCAAGUCGAGGGGAAACGACGGGGAAGCUUGCUUCCCCGGGCGUCGACCGGCGCACGGGUGAGUAACGCGUAUCCAACCUGCCUCUGACUGAGGGAUAACCCGUCGAAAGUCGGCCUAAUACCUCAUGGUAUCGUCUGCGGGCAUCCAACGACGAUUAAAGAUUUCAUCGGUCAGGGAUGGGGAUGCGUCUGAUUAGCUUGUUGGCGGGGUAACGGCCCACCAAGGCUACGAUCAGUAGGGGUUCUGAGAGGAAGGUCCCCGAGAGUGGAACUGAGACACGGGCCAAAGUCCUACGGGAGGCAGCAGUGAGGAAGAUUGGUGAAUGGGCGAGAGCCUGAACCAGCCAAGUAGCGUGCAGGAAGACGGCCCUAUGGGUUGUAAACUGCUUUUAGGCGGGGAUAAAGUGAGGGACGUGUCCCUCAUUGCAGGUACCGCAUGAAUAAGGACCGGCUAAUUCCGUG
Molecule: ribosomal RNA, 491 nt
Filed under: uncultured bacterium
Lineage: Bacteria
Description: partial 16S ribosomal RNA
Rfam family: Bacterial small subunit ribosomal RNA
Source: RNAcentral